Molecule: long non-coding RNA, 2232 nt
Filed under: Triticum aestivum (bread wheat)
Lineage: Eukaryota; Viridiplantae; Streptophyta; Magnoliopsida; Poales; Poaceae
Description: long non-coding RNA (TAES_LNC028170)
Source: RNAcentral
UGCGGUGGUUUUGCACGGACACGACGAACAACGGCUCCUCGAUCCGUUCGGUUCCAUAGCAUGGCGGGAUGCUGUGGGGCGGCGAACAGCCGUGAAGUUCAAUCACCAAGGAUGAUUGAUUGAGAGUUUAAUCGGCCAUUAAUGCCAGUCGAUGCUCCGGGCAGGUCAGUUUUCUUUGGCGAUUCAUAUUUUUCAUUCAAUUCACGCGACCCCAUAUAAUCCCAGCCUUGUAGCUGCUCCUGUCCCACUCUGCUCAUUCGUAAACCAUUCUCCAGCACAGCAGCAAUGGGUAAUGCUUAGGUCUGUAGUCGUUCCAAUUCUCCCUCUUUGCUGCAACUCCCCUUCCCCCAAUUCUUCCUUUAUUUUUAAUGAUACUAUUCUUUGUAUUGAAAACGAAGGUCAGCCUGCUUGUGCUGAGUUAGAAGGUGAUGCGCUGGUUUCAAUUCUCAAUUGUUGUCUAUAUAUACAGUGUUCUCUGUCUAAUUUGGAAUUUCAAAUGAUUGCAGGUUCUCUACAAGGACGAAUUCAAGCUAUGUACUGCUUGGUUUCUUUCGUUAUUCCAGUUGAAUCUUGAAUCUGCCUGUAUCCGUGUUUUCCAAUUAGUUCUUCUCUGUUCUUCCCCCAAUUCUUCCUCCAUCAAAUAUAUAAUUUUUAUUUAUUGAUGUUUUUCCACUCCCAACUGAAGACAUGUGCUCUGAGUUGAUGGGUUCGAACUUUCUGCUGGGUUGGGUUCUUUCCUUGCAUCUCCAGUGGCUAAAGGUCAGGUUAGUAUCCGUCAUAGUUCAUACAGUGAUGGCAUAUUAUCCGUCAUAGUUCAUACAGUGAUGGCAUAUGGAGUCACUCCUAUUUAUCAUGUUACUAGACAAUAAACUGACAUAUGCUUCCAAAACCUCUAACCGAUGAUAUUCAUUUAUAUGAAAUGCAUCAACAAUGUUUACUGAAUUUGAUGAAAUUUUGAAGCAAGUAGAUGUACAAGUGGAUUUAUGAAGUCACUGUCAAGAAGCGUGUAUGAUGUAGCAACGUCAAAACAAGUCGAUUAUCCAUCCUGACCAUGAACUAACAUUCUCUCAAAUGCUUGGUAAAGGUUGAACGGCAAAGUACUUAAAAAACAUACACUAACUUGGGCCGAGAUUUUUAUUUGACCAUAUAUUGCUGUUACAGUAGGGAUUCCCUUCCCUCUAACUUCUCGGGUGUAUGCAUAUAGCACUUAGCAUUUUAAGAUGAUUGUGAAGCUUAAGGAAAAUACACAUCUCGAUACUAUAUGUAAGCACUUUGUGCUCUUCAGUCUUCACUUGGGUAAAGUUUCACCUCGGGCAACUUCUUGGGAUAAGAUUAGUUUAUUGUGCCAUACUGUUUCAAGGAAAUUGAAGAAAAUAAGAUAAGUUGUCUCAGGGAAGCAAAAAUCAGAAAAGCCACACAUGUACUUAAAUCAAGUAAAGUAGCAAUUAUGCGUCUUCAACCACUAUUUUUAUCAGCAUGUCCUAGAUGUAAAUCAGUUGCCUGAAGCCACCGCUCAAAAAAAAUGCCCGAAGCGAUCUACAACACAACAGUACAACAAUGUGGUGUUUUUCAAGCAUUUUUUGAAAACAGUACGGAUUUGGCCGUACUACAGUACCCCAUGGCCUUAGACAUGGUAUACUGCCAGCACUCUCGUUAGGAUGUACUGCAGAACAUACUUCAACAUGAUGCUCUGAUUUCCCUAUAUUUCAUUUCAGUUUAUGUAUGAUUAAUUCUUGCACCAAGCAAUUACAUUGUCCAGAUAUCCCCUCAUUCCAAAAGUGUACAUACAGGUGAUGUUCAUGCUAGCUGUGGUCGAUUGAGAUCUUGGAGCUUGGUACUAGGAUUUUUUUUUUUAGAUUGGCAGCUCGACGUUGCCCUGCCCUUCGCGCCCAUGACUCCCUGUACUGUGCUACCAUGAUGAUGGCUGUGUCAAGCCGUCCCAGAACUCCUCAUUACCCAGAAUUCAUCAAAUAGACAUCUAGGUUGAAACUUGGAGAACAUCUAAUAUCGUCAUGUUCACUUUGUCCUUUUUAUUUUGUCUCACUCUGUCAUUUAAGUAAAAGUUCAGUUUGGAUAUCUCAAGACAGAUCCAAGCUCACUUGUAAUUUUGUUUAGGAUACCAUGUGCAUCAGAGGGCAGAACUCUCCAUGAUGCAUGGAAUAAAAAUAGAGCGCCCAAACAAUUGUACCAUGAACACAUUCCUAAUCACUUCUCCGGAUUAAUUAUUUAUUU